GCCUUUUCUUCUUCUCCAUAUCCCGUUGUACUAAAUUUAGAGAACCAUCUCACUCCAGAUCUUCAAGCUAAAACAGCUAAGGUUUGGAUUUUGAUUCUUUUUCUUUAAUCAAUAUAAUUAAUUGGUAUAUUAUAAUGUUACCACCAUUAUGAUUUUCUUGUACAGAUGAUCGCUGACACAUUUGAAGAUUUGUUGUUCAAACCAGAAGACUUGAACUCAAUAGUGGAAUUUCCAUCACCAGAGUUUUUAAUGCAUCGGAUCAUAGUUUCAGCAGAACAUCCAGAAGAUGAAGAACAAGAUUAUCAGUACUCGACAUCUGCGUACAAGCAUAUAAUCACAAUUAAAGAUGCAAAACCAAAGGAUGGGGUAAAAAUCUCCGUAACCAAUAUUAAUUCUAAUGCAGUUGGUCAACUUAACGUAAGUGAACCAGAUCUUAAGAAUGCAUUGGAGACUCAUGGGGCUCACUUGGUAAGGUAUUUAACUAUUCAUUCAUACUCAUUUAUUUUAGAUUAUAUAUGUGCAAAUAGAAUGCAAAUAAUGCAAGAAUCUUUAUUGUCUAAGAACAGUGAGAAAUUCAAUUUUACACAUUUAUUUGAAGUUUGUCUUUUUGCACCUUUGUUUUAUGCUUUGCAUAUUUAUUUUAUUUUGUCACGCAUUUGUUUACUGAAUAGUCGCAUAAAACAAUAAAAACUUGAACUUCACAUUUUUUAAAUUCCCAUUGUAGAUUUUCUCAAAAGAAUAUCAUAAGAGUAUAUCCCAAAGGUACUCGUAUCACUUCUUCAAAUUUUAAUCCAUUCAUUGGAUGGACACAUGGGGCACAAAUGGUGGCAUUCAAUAUGCAGGUUACAAUCAACAUAUGCUUCCUAUUUUCUAUGUUUGAAUAUACUCAUUGGCAAUUUCGGGUUAAUUAGGGACAUGGAAAACAUCUCUGGAUCAUGCAAGGGUUCUUCAGGGCCAAUGGAGGAUGUGGGUAUGUCAAAAAACCUGAUUUUCUAAUGAAUGCCAGCUCGGAUGACAGAGUAUUAUUUCAAACUGAAAAGAAAAUAUUAAAGGUGAUAAAUAUCAUAGGUGUUGUUGUCUUGCUUACUUUUAUUAUUUAUUAGCACUAAAUAUGAUAAUGCAGGUCAAAGUCUAUAUGGGUUAUGGAUGGAAAAAUGAUUUUUCAAAGAGGCAUUUCGAUAAGUUCUCUCCCCCAGAUUUCUUUACAAAGGUAUGCUUGAUGAUACUAAACUCUACUCUCUUAGAUUUACAUUAAUUUACAAGAUGCUUAUUUUGGUUCUUUCUGAUUUGCACUCAUGAAUGAGUUUAUUCUUUUUUUGCCGUUUAGUUAUCAUUUUCUAAUUUAAUUGGAGAAGUGAUUUGUGCUUUGUCAAAAUUCUUUUAUACAUAAAAUAGCAUGUUUAUGCUAGUGAUAUAUAUAGUAGGUAGUCGUAGUUCUUAUGUUUCAUAUAUUGGUUUAAUUUUUCUCUAUAUCUAAUAUAAUAUUGAUUUGGUGGUAUUUUAAGCGUAUUCUGAUUUUUUUUGGCAGAAUUCAAAAUUUUCAUUAUAAAAAUGAAGGGUAGUUCCCUGAUUUUCGUAGAGAAGAUAAAGAGAUGUAUGGACUAUGGAGAUGAGCUUUGACUCAUCAACACUUUCCUACAUAGCCUUACAAUCAGUGAUUGGAAUAACUAUGAGCAGCCUUAGAAGUUUGUCUCCAAAACUGAUAGAGGAGAAAUGAAGCAAGGAUUCUGUUCAGACAGAGUCCUGCCCAAUUAUCUAUAAAACCCCUAUAAUUCUUUUCAUUGUUGUCCAUCACAAUGGAAAGAAUAUAAAUAGGAAAUAAAGAUGGACAGUAGGACAGUUUACUUUUCAGAGAUUAUUACCAAGGUAUUUCCUUCUCUCUCGUUCUCUCUUUAAUUCCUUCCUUUUUUCUACUUUCCUUUUUAGCAUCUGGUGGAUUCCAGAUCUUAUCUUCUUCUUCCUCUUGUCAAUCCAUCCUCACGAUUGGAUUGAUCUUUUGUGGAUCUAGCAUUCACACCCUAUCAAGUGGUAUCAGACUAGGCAAUGACCACAAUGUCCGAUGUGGUGACCAGGAAGGAUGUGGACGAUCCGAGGAAGUCCCUAUCCGAUCUAACAAUGGUGGUGGACGGUCUGGCCAGAAAAAUCAGUGGCUCAAUGGGAGAACCAGCAAACGCAUAACAACCUAGAUGGGACAGUGUGUUUGGACAGACGCUUAGGAGGCAUGGGAAGGAACCGAUGCCAAAUUCAUCAUCCUCCGAUGAUAACUGGCCGCCCUCAAACAGAAACGACGAUCGCCGGAGGUCACCUCGCCGGAAUCGCGACGAUGACUGGAAUCGUUUUUUUGGACAGCAAUACGAAAGAAAAAAUUAUCAGCAAGGUCCGGACAGACGACAACAAUACCCAAGGAAUAGAGACAGUGGAUAUGGAGAAGAUUAUCGACGGGGGAAUGAUCGAUUCCAUCAUGACCGGCCACCGGAUUUCGAGAAUGAAGAGUUUGGUUAUCGCCCUCAACGGCAACAAAAUAGGGAUGGAGAAAAUUAUAGAAUCAAGAGGGAUAUCCCAACAUUCAACAGAUUAUUAAAUAUAGAAGAGGUGCUUGAUUGGAUCUCGGAGGUGGAAAGAGUCCUUGACUGUUAUGACAUAGAAGAACACCGUCAAGUCAAGUUAGUAGCACUGAGAUUCAAAGGCAGUGCAAUGGCCUGGUGGGAUCAAACUGUCAAUAACAGAGCUAGACAAUAAAAAAAAUCCAUCAGAUCUUGGGCAAAAUAAAAAGACACCUCAAGAUGAGAUUUCUUCCUCAUGAUUACGAGAGGACACUCUACCAGCGGUACCAGAAUUGCAGACUAGGUAUUAAAUCAGUCCGUGAGUAUACUGAAGAAUUUCAACGUCUGGGUGGGAUCAAGGAAUAAUUUAAGAGAAACUGAAGAACAAUUAAUUGCUCGCUUUGCUAGUGGUCUUUAAGUGGGAGUUCAAGAGAAAAUGCAAUUACACACAACUGCGAGCCUUUCUGAAACCAUUAAUUUGGCUGAAAACAUUGAAAGAUUUAAUUCUAGAUCAUGGAAUCCAUCAGUCCAGCAGCCUUCAUAUUACAAAGAAGGGUCAGGGAAUUCAGCAACACAAAGCACUCCCAAUUCUCAAAAAGGACCACUUUUGGACAAUCCAAAAGAUGCUAAAGGUAAAGACAUCAACCCUUAUCCUCGUCAACCUUUUAUUAAAUGUUAUAGGUGCAAUGGCAUUGGACAUAAAUCCAAUGUAUGUCCAAAAAGGGGAGAAGUUGGGUUUUGUGACCACUACUAUGAAGAAAUUCCAGAAAAUGUGGAAACAAAUGAGGACAACUUGGAGGUGGAACAAGGACCAGAUGAAGGACACCACUUAUCCUGCGUUAUGCACAGAUUAUGUCUAACACCUAAAACACCUAUAUUGGAUCAAAGACAUAACUUAUUUCGUACUAGAGGCAUUGUCAAGGGAAGGACUUUAGACAUAAUCAUUGACAACAGCAGUACAGACAAUUUGGUCUCAAUUAAGGCUGCUACAACUCUGAAAUUACCUUUUGAAAAACACCCAAGGCCAUAUCAAUUAGGGUGAAUUAAGGUUGGGGACUCAGUCAAAGUAAUUCAGCAGUGUGUAGUCCAUUUAUCUAUUGGGAAAUAUUAUGAAGACAAAAUAUUAUGCGAUGUGGUUCCAAUGGAUGCUACACACCUCUUAUUGGGCAGACCGUGGCACUUUGAUGCAGAUGUAACUUACAGGGGGGAAAUUAAAUCAGUAUGUAGUGCAGGUCAACGACAGAAGAAUUGUGUUACUACCUCUUGAACCAGAACCAGAGAAGGAAGGAAAAAAACCGAGUCUACUGAGUCAAGGGAAGUCUGAAUUUUUGGAGGAAGUAAUAAGAGAAGGGGGAGGUUUAGCACUGGUGGUGAAUGAAGUUCAGAAGGAGUCCAUUCAGAGAAUUCCAGAAACAGUAAAAAAAGUUUUAGAAAAAAUUCCAGAAACAUGUGAGGAAUCUGAGCUGCAAUCCCUUCCACCCCACAGAGAGAUUGAUCGCCAAAUUGACUUAAUCCCGGGCUCAAGACUUCCAAAUUUGAGUCACUACAGGCUGAGCCCUAAAGAGGUAGAAAUUCUGCAAGAACAAGUAAAUAAAUUACUAUUGGGAGGACUGAUCAAACCCAGCUUGAGUCCAUGUGCUGUCCUAACACUAUUGGUGCCUAAAAAAAAUGGGGAAUUCCGAAUGUGUGUUGAUAGUGGGGCUAUUAACAAAAUAACAGUAAAAUACCGAUUUCUAAUACCCAGGGUAGAAGAAUUGUUAGAUGAACUAUCGGGUUCCACUAUAUUUUCCAAAUUAUACCUCAAAAGUGGUUACCGCCAGACAUAGUUCGAAAAAGCGGAAAGCGCUCCCAAUUUCCAGGGAGCGCUUUUUUAGCUUUAACCGCUUUAGCGUCGCUUAAAGCGGU
RNAcentral lists this long non-coding RNA (4448 nucleotides) under Zostera marina. RNAcentral describes it as "long non-coding RNA (ZMAR_LNC000855)". Lineage: Eukaryota; Viridiplantae; Streptophyta; Magnoliopsida; Alismatales; Zosteraceae. The record is from RNAcentral.